RNAcentral lists this transfer RNA (64 nucleotides) under Crenobia alpina. Its description in RNAcentral is "tRNA-His". The record is from RNAcentral. Lineage: Eukaryota; Metazoa; Platyhelminthes; Tricladida; Planariidae.
GCGGAAGUAGUUUAAAAAAAAUAUCAGUUUGUGGUUUUGGAGUUGCUGCUUUAGUUUUUUCGUA